Molecule: non-coding RNA, 1207 nt
Organism: Perca flavescens (yellow perch)
Lineage: Eukaryota; Metazoa; Chordata; Actinopteri; Perciformes; Percidae
Source: RefSeq, a predicted model, not a curated record
AUCUACCACAGAGUGCACUUUGUCUCUGGGGGCGACAAGUCAACACAUUCACGCUCCUAUAUAAACAGGCUGGGCCAGUGGUGCCUCUUACUCUGUUUUCUAGAGAAGAGGGAAUACAAUACGAGUGACACAAUGAAUAAGCUGCUUGUCAUUACUGUGCUGGUUGCGCUCCUUGCUCUCAGCACUGAAAGCUUCCGUAUGCCGAGGCAGGCUGAGGAGGAGCAGGGGACCCUGACCAAGAUCACAGGCACCAUAAGGUCCUACUAUGACAACGUCGUCGACGUUGCCAGUGGAUACGUGGAUAGCAUCAAGGGCCUGAAGCUGGAGGAGAAGGCAAAGCAUCUUUACACUGAUACUACCACAGUCGUGAGCACAUACGCUGGCAUCUUACACGACCAGGUGUACCACAUCUUUUACCAUAAUUAAACAAAAACUGAUUUCCAAUGGCCUCAGCUACAUUUUCUGACAACAUGAGAACUUUCAAGCUCAACACGAAAGGCCCAAACGUCAAUUGGCAUUUCGAAUUUGCUCAUAUCUCACCUCACCCCAGCCUCAAAACCGACAAACAGCAUCUUCAAAAAGAAAAAUAGUGGACCCACUGCUCUUUGUGGGGCUUUCUUGGGCCACUGCACUGGUGGCAAAUGAUGAUAACCACCCAACGGGGACUGUAAUCCUUUGAAAAAAAACAACAACAACUAACAGCUUGUACAGAGGAACAGGACAGAAGAAGUUGGCGGUCACAAGGGAAAUAGCACACAGCACCUUAUCAUGUACCACUGAACUUCUACCUGGGUGUCAGAGUUAAGAAACAAUCAUGCAAAUAAUGUAAUGAUCUAUCGCCACCUACUGGUGUUUUCAGUCAUCCCACCUCUGAAUAAAUAAAAUAUUUGUGUCAUAUCUUGAAAUAAAAUAUUUAUAAAAAAAAAAAAUCUGGUGUCUAUGGUGGAUAAAUGAGAAUUUAGUUUACUGUUUGAUAUAGUAAAUUGUGCAUAUUUCUCCUGUCUCGCUGUGUAAGACCUGCGUUUCCUUUAAUCUCACUGACGCAAACGAUCACGUGUUUAUGUCUGUAUGAAUCUGCAAUGAGGCGCCCUGCUUUUAUCAGCGGAGGCAGCACCAGAACAGAGGCUUCUGCUGUGAUUAAUAAUGGAUGAAAAGAAACAACAUGUAAAAUGUGAGCGCAGAGAUGAAUAAACAACACUAUGAGGUC